RNAcentral lists this unclassified non-coding RNA (893 nucleotides) under Hevea brasiliensis (rubber tree). Lineage: Eukaryota; Viridiplantae; Streptophyta; Magnoliopsida; Malpighiales; Euphorbiaceae. The record is from RNAcentral.
AUCAUGUUUUGUAAUGCAUGAUCUUAUUAGUGAUUUUGCUCAAUUGGUAUCCAAAGAAUUUUGCUUCAGAUUAGAGGAUGGUAUUUCUCAUAUGCCUGAAAAAAUUCUCCAUGCCUCUUACACUAGAGGCAACAAUGAUCCAUCCGACAAAUUCAAGCUCAUUCUUACAGCCAACCGCUUGAGGACAUUUCUUAUGAUUGAUUCGCCAUGGGAUCAUAAAUCUUGUCAUCUAAGUAAAGAAAACUUGCACGAUUUGUUUUCGGGGUUAACACACUUGCGAGUGUUCUCUUUGGCCUUCUAUGGUUUCACUAAAGUGCCUGAUUCGAUAGGCAAGUUGAAACACCUACGCUACCUAGACCUCUCUCACACCGCACUAGAAAUUUUACCUGAAUCAGUAAGCUCCCUUUACAAUUUGCAAACAUUGGAUUUGUCCUACUGCCAUUCCCUCAGCAAAUUGCCGCAAGGCAUGGCGCAGCUUGUUAACUUGCGUCACCUUCUCAUUACUAAAACUAAUGUGCAAUGUAUGCCAUUAGGAAUGAGUAGAUUAACGAAUCUUCAGACCCUGUCUAACUUUAUUGUGGGCGAAUGUGGCUCCAAAGUUAAUGAGUUGUCAGGGCUUUCUGAUAUUCGCGGAACACUAUCCAUUUCUAAGUUGCACAACUUAGAUCCUGAUAGUGAUCCUUUGGAUGCCAAAUUGACAGCAAUGAGAUAUCUUGAUGAGCUAGAAUUGGAAUGGAACUGGGAGAGUGGAGAUCCAAAGAAAGACGAAAAAGUACUUGAAAACCUUGAGCCUCCCCAAACGUUGAAAAGACUGGUCAUUAAAUCUUAUGGUGGCACAGGAUUUCCAUGGUGGUUGGGAAAUUCUUCUUUUGCAGACUUAGUGUUUCUAUCUC